RNAcentral lists this long non-coding RNA (2195 nucleotides) under Phascolarctos cinereus (koala). RNAcentral describes it as "lncRNA (ENSPCIG00000016465.2)". Lineage: Eukaryota; Metazoa; Chordata; Mammalia; Diprotodontia; Phascolarctidae. The record is from RNAcentral.
GGCAUCCCCAGAUUCUCUUUCUGGGAUGGAAAAUCCAGUCCUACUAUAAGUGUCUAAGGAAGCAUAUCUGUUUUCUCUGCAUCCCAAGCCAUAGUUAUCUCAGGAGAGAGUCUAUUUUUCUGAACUAUUUUACUCCCAAUUAUUUUGGGGUCUUUUGGAGACUCAGUCCCACAGUAUUCCACUACUGGGGAGGCUUGCAGUCAUCAAGGCCACAGGUUGGAACUGGAUAGGCCGAGUUUCCUGAUCUUAGGAGCAUUUAAAGAUCCUUAUUUUUUUUUUUAAUCUUCUCAGGAUUAUUAUUGGAAAUCCUUCAGUGGAAGAAUGGUGAGAAAAUACAAGAUAUUUCCAGAAGCAUCCCUGGUCCAGUUGCCUCCAAAAGAUUUUUGUCAACAGUCCAAGUUUGUGCUGCUACCAUGUCCUCCUCAUAGGAUAGCACCAUUGUGGCAUCGAGGCCAGCAGUCCAGGGCAGAGCAGAUGUCAUGCCUCAGCCACGAGGUCCAAACCACCAGCUCAUCACUCACACCUUACCAGAGAGCUUCAUCUGCACAGCUACCAUGCCCCAGUGAUCACCACUGCCACCUCCACCAUCGAUCAACACCCCGGAACCAGCACCACCACCACCAUCACCCUCGUGCGGUCCUCAUCCUUGAUGUUAGCACCGACCUUGGCCUCCACCUUUACGUCUUCAUUUGCCUUUGCCUCGACCUGUACCUCCAAAACCACUUCCAUCCUUCACUGACUGGAGGGUCAAGAAACGGGCUAAGCUUCCUCAUCAUGUAGAAUGCAAGGCUAAGACUGCAGCUGUAAAAACCUCAUUGUCCCAGUAUGUCCCCAGAUGGCCUCAGCUGUGAGAGGAAGCUACCCUGGUUACCCAGGUGAAACCCCACCACAUCGAGGGCAUCAAACAAGGACUUCUGCCCUGCACAGAGGCAGGAUUAUAUUACUUCCACCUGAACAUCAUUCUAGGCUCACAGGUGUGAAACCAACCAAUUUGUCCAAGAACAAAGCUUCCAAGGAGUAAUAUCCUGACCCUUUUCCUGAGGACACAGCUACAAUGUUAGGAUUCUUUGACCAUCUUCCUGGGCCUCAAAAUCAGACACAAGUGACAAAGAUGCAUAGAAGAGCAGUCACUUCAUGCUUCAUCACUGUAUCUUCAUCACUUCACAAAGACCAUGCCAGGGCCACAAAGGCUUGUGUACCAUACUCCAUCUACUGUGUUACAGAUAGGUGCAGGUCAUCUCAUCACCACCUCACCCCCAGGCUAGAGCAGCAGCUAUACCAUCACCAGACUUUGAACUGUGGAACCUUUAACUGUUACCAUCCAUGUCUAGAGCACUGGGCCAAGGUCACCUCUAUACCUUUCAUAGAUCCAACUCAUAAUGGUUAAGGCUCCGCUAGGCCCUGAUUAUAAGGCCAAGUAUAAAACUGAGCCAUAGCAAUACCCUGACCACCAAGUUGUACCUCCACUAGGCAUGACCAUUUGGCUGACGUUUUCAUGGACCUCAACCACCAAGCUAUUAUAAUAACAUCAAUAGACUUGGACACCUGGCUUGAAGCAAUUGUUAUCCAAAAGUCUGGACUAUAACAACAUUAACUCCGAGUCUAAAUAGGGUUUUGAGCUGUCGGGCUUUGCCAAGUCUAGAUAAUAAUGGGGCAAGGGACCCAGUACUUUGAUAUCAUCCUACCGAUUGACUGUAACACACACCUCAUUUGGACAUAGGCCAUAAAAUUGAACUUGCUCUGAACACUGAAAUCUAGGCCAUAUAAACAUGAGGACUGAGAAAUUGGGCGAAGAAUCCCCUUUGUCUUGAAGACUAGAGCUGUACCUUCACUGGAUCCCCCACAUUAAGUUCAGGCUGGUUGAGACAGUGACAUUCAGGCCAUAUCUCUCUAAAGCUAGGAUGGACCUGAGAGGCUAUACAGAGUCCUGAUUGCCAGGGUACCAUGGCAUAGUGCCAGGACUACCAGGCCAAAUUUCUAGUAGGUCUCGAAUAUUUGGACAAAUUGCUACCAGAAUUAGGCCAGCAAGCUGAAGAUAUACAGGGUUCUGUCCUCUGGAUGUUUUCUCCAUUAGAUCCCAGGGUGCAGAUUCACUGGACCUGGAUGUCUACAUAGGGUCAUUUAGGUCACAAAGCUCUGCUCUUCCCAGACCUCUAAGACCUAAAUAAAGGCCUUAACACAAAGUGUUCUGCUCA